Molecule: ribosomal RNA, 492 nt
Filed under: uncultured bacterium
Lineage: Bacteria
Description: partial 16S ribosomal RNA
Rfam family: Bacterial small subunit ribosomal RNA
Source: RNAcentral
AGUGAACGCUGGCGGUAGGCCUAACACAUGCAAGUCGAACGGCAGCACAGUAAGAGCUUGCUCUUACGGGUGGCGAGUGGCGGACGGGGGAGGAAUACAUCGGAAUCUACUUUUUCGUGGGGGAUAACGGAGGGAAACUUACGCUAAUACCGCAUACGACCUACGGGGGAAAGCAGGGGAUCUUCGGACCUUGGGCGAUUGAAUGGGACGAUGUCGGAUUAGCUAGUUGGCGGGGUAAAGGCCCACAAAGGCGACGAUCCGUAGCUGGUCUGAGAGGAUGAUCAGCCACACUGGAACUGAGACACGGUCCAGACUCCUACGGCAGGCAGCAGUGGGGAAUAUUGGACAAUGGGCGCAAGCCUGAUCCAGCCAUACCGCGUGGGUGAAGAAGGCCUUCGGGUUGUAAAGCCCUUUUGUUGGGAAAGAAAAGCAGCAGGUUAAUACCCCGCUGUUCUGACGGUACCCAAAGAAUAAGCACCGGCUAACUUCGUG